This 441-nucleotide ribosomal RNA is filed under the name uncultured bacterium. RNAcentral's name for it is "partial 16S ribosomal RNA". It matches the Rfam family "Bacterial small subunit ribosomal RNA", at positions 338 to 795 of the family's 1533-position model. The record is from RNAcentral.
CCUACGGGGGGCAGCAGUGGGGAAUAUUGCACAAUGGGGGAAACCCUGAUGCAGCAACGCCGCGUGAGUGAGGAAGUAUUUCGGUAUGUAAAGUUCUAUCAGCAGGGAAUAGAAAAGAAGGUUCCCGAAAAAGAAGCCCCGGCCAAACACCUGCCAGCAGCCGCGGUAAUACGUAGGGGGCAAGCGUUAGCCGGAUUUACUGGGUGUAAAGGGAGCGUAGACGGGUGGGCAAGUCAGAAGUGAAAGCCCGAGGCUCAACCAUGGGACUGCAUUUGAAACUGUCGAACUUGAGUACGGGAGAGGUAGAAGGAAUUCCUAGUGUAGCGGUGAAAUGCGUAGAUAUUAGGAGGAACACCAGUGGCGAAGGCGGCUUACUGGACCGAAACUGACGUUGAGGCGCGAAAGCGUGGGGAGCAAACAGGAUUAGAUACCCUGGUAGUC